Molecule: ribosomal RNA, 435 nt
Filed under: uncultured bacterium
Lineage: Bacteria
Description: partial 16S ribosomal RNA
Rfam family: Bacterial small subunit ribosomal RNA
Source: RNAcentral
GAUGAACGCUGGCGGUAUGCUUAACACAUGCAAGUCGAACGGACUCUUCGGAGUUAGUGGCGGACGGGUGAGUAACGCGUGAGAAUCUGGCUUUGGGUUCGGGACAACCACUGGAAACGGUGGCUAAUACCGGAUGUGCCGAGAGGUAAAAGAGAAAUUGCCUGAAGAUGAGCUCGCGUCUGAUUAGCUAGUUGGUGAGGUAAAGGCUCACCAAGGCAGCGAUCAGUAGCUGGUCUGAGAGGAUGACCAGCCACACUGGGACUGAGACACGGCCCAGACUCCUACGGGAGGCAGCAGUGGGGAAUUUUCCGCAGUGGGCGAAAGCCUGACGGAGCAAUACCGCGUGAGGGAAGAAGGCUCUUGGGUUGUAAACCUCUUUUCUUAGGGAAGAACAAAAUGACGGUACCUAAGGAAUCAGCAUCGGCUAACUCCGUG